AACGAACGCUGGCGGCGCGCUUAACACAUGCAAGUCGAACGAGAAGGCGUAGCAAUACGCUUGUACAGUGGCGAACGGGUGAGUAAUACGUGGGCGACCUACCCUCGAGUGGGGAAUAACCCGCCGAAAGGCGGGCUAAUGCCGCGUACGCUUCCAUCUUUAUGGAGGUGGAAGGAAAGCCGUGCCGUGGGCACGGCGCUCAAGGAUGGGCUCACGUCCUAUCAGCUUGUUGGAGGGUAACGGCCUACCAAGGCUCCGACGGUAGCUGGUCUGAGAGGACGAUCAGCCACACUGGCACUGCGACACGGGCCAGACUCCUACGGGAGGCAGCAGUGAGGAAUAUUGCGCAAUGGGCGAAAGCCUGACGCAGCGACGCCGCGUGGGGGA
Molecule: ribosomal RNA, 387 nt
Filed under: uncultured bacterium
Lineage: Bacteria
Description: bacterial SSU rRNA
Rfam family: Bacterial small subunit ribosomal RNA
Source: RNAcentral